Molecule: small nucleolar RNA, 100 nt
Organism: Macaca fascicularis (crab-eating macaque)
Lineage: Eukaryota; Metazoa; Chordata; Mammalia; Primates; Cercopithecidae
Source: Ensembl
AUCCUUUUGUAGUUCAUGAGGAUGAUUGAGUGUUCACACUCAUGUGUGAGAUGUGCCACCCUCAGACCUUGAAAUCUGCAGUCACUCUUGGUAAGUGAAC